UUUCUCCCUCGGCCUUGCUCUGUUUCUUUCUGUUGCUUUCUGGUGUUGUUCUCACAUUUCCAGACUAUUAUCCUCUUUUUCUUUUGAUGUAUAAUCUGUGACAUUGCCAGUGUUUAAAUAUUUUGGACUUAGGUUUCAAAUUUCAAACCAUCAAUUCAGAUAAAAUCAUCAUACAUGCACUUUUAAACAUAUGCCUCUGUGAAAGUAAGAUAGACUUCCACAAAUUGCCACAACCAGAUC
Long non-coding RNA from Arabidopsis thaliana (thale cress), 240 nucleotides. RefSeq annotates it as other RNA. The record is from RefSeq. The transcript has a single exon. NCBI's taxonomy places the organism in Eukaryota, Viridiplantae, Streptophyta, Magnoliopsida, Brassicales, Brassicaceae.